Molecule: ribosomal RNA, 742 nt
Filed under: uncultured bacterium
Lineage: Bacteria
Description: bacterial SSU rRNA
Rfam family: Bacterial small subunit ribosomal RNA
Source: RNAcentral
AGAGUUUGAUCCUGGCUCAGAGCGAACGCUGGCGGCAGGCCUAACACAUGCAAGUCGAGCGCCGUAGCAAUACGGAGCGGCAGACGGGAGAGUAACACGUGGGAACGUGCCCUUCAGUUCGGAACAACCCAGGGAAACUUGGGCUAAUACCGGAUACGUCCGUAAGGAGAAAGAUUUAUUGCUGAAGGAUCGGCCCGCGUCUGAUUAGCUAGUUGGUGGGGUAAUGGCCCACCAAGGCGACGAUCAGUAGCUGGUCUGAGAGGAUGAUCAGCCUCACUGGGACUGAGACACGGCCCAGACUCCUACGGGAGGCAGCAGUGGGGAAUAUUGGACAAUGGGCGCAAGCCUGAUCCAGCCAUGCCGCGUGGGUGAUGAAGGCCCUAGGGUUGUAAAGCCCUUUCGGCGGGGAAGAUAAUGACGGUACCCGCAGAAGAAGCCCCGGCUAACUUCGUGCCAGCAGCCGCGGUAAUACGAAGGGGGCUAGCGUUGCUCGGAAUCACUGGGCGUAAAGCGCACGUAGGCGGCUUUUUAAGUCAGGGGUGAAAUCCUGGAGCUCAACUCCAGAACUGCCUUUGAUACUGAGAAGCUUGAGUCCGGGAGAGGUGAGUGGAACUGCGAGUGUAGAGGUGAAAUUCGUAGAUAUUCGCAAGAACACCAGUGGCGAAGGCGGCUCACUGGCCCGGUACUGACGCUGAGGUGCGAAAGCGUGGGGAGCAAACAGGAUUAGAUACCCUAGUAGUCC